UGGUGGAGUGAUUUGUCUGGUUGAUUCCGUUAACGAACGAGACCUCGACCUCUAGUUAGUUUCAUACAAAUCUAUUUGUAUUGAAAUUUCUGAAUUGGGACUAUCGGUGUGUAGCCGAUGGAAGUUCGAGGCAAUAACA
RNAcentral lists this ribosomal RNA (139 nucleotides) under uncultured eukaryote. RNAcentral's name for it is "partial 18S ribosomal RNA". It matches the Rfam family "Eukaryotic small subunit ribosomal RNA", at positions 1299 to 1458 of the family's 1831-position model. The record is from RNAcentral.